Molecule: non-coding RNA, 28 nt
Filed under: Rattus norvegicus (Norway rat)
Lineage: Eukaryota; Metazoa; Chordata; Mammalia; Rodentia; Muridae
Source: RNAcentral
UACUAGCUGAGACAGCUCGCCAGGACAA